UUUACACACUUGAAAUUAACCAGGAGGUAUUGACAUCGUCUCUUUUUCCAAAAAAGGGGAUUAUAACCAGAAGUAGCUGGCAACACAUGUGAAGAUGGCUGGCCUGUGCUGGCUGGUGAUGGUGCCAGCCUUCUUCCUGUCUCCUCCAAACAUUUUGGCUGCUGUAAACCAGGACUGGCUCACGAACAUUGUAGCAGCUGUCAAGAACAAGUAUGAACUAGGUGAUUCCUUCAGCAUGGCUUUGAACAUCCCACAGAAUCAAGAUCCAAGCAGUCUCCAAGAAGUCCUUCAGAAUGACCCAGCAGACAGCGUGACAGGAGCCAUUUCACAGGACCAAGUGUACAAAGGCACCAGGGUGGUGGCAGCGACACAGUCACAGGCACUAUCACAUGUUCUUCAUAACAUACAACCAUUCAUAAACAGUAGUGAGGGUAACGUUCUCGUCAUCUACUCUGAAAACUCUCCAAUUUCAAAUGACGAAGGUAUCACUUUGAACAUUAGUGAUAUCACUAAUAACUGGAGCGGUU
Maylandia zebra (zebra mbuna) is the source of this 527-nucleotide non-coding RNA. The record is from RefSeq and is a predicted model, not a curated record. Lineage: Eukaryota; Metazoa; Chordata; Actinopteri; Cichliformes; Cichlidae.